This 253-nucleotide ribosomal RNA is filed under the name uncultured bacterium. RNAcentral's name for it is "partial 16S ribosomal RNA". It matches the Rfam family "Bacterial small subunit ribosomal RNA", at positions 524 to 776 of the family's 1533-position model. The record is from RNAcentral.
UACGUAGGGACCGAGCGUUGUCCGGAUUCAUUGGGCGUAAAGAGCUCGUAGGCGGCCACUCAAGUCGAAUGUGAAACCUCGAGGCUUAACCUCGAGCCUGCAUUCGAUACUGGGCGGCUAGAGUCUGGUAGGGGGAUCUGGAAUUCCAGGUGUAGCGGUGAAAUGCGUAGAUAUCUGGAGGAAUACCGGUGGCGAAGGCGGCAUCCUGGACCGGCAUUGACGCUGAGGCGCGAAAGCCAGGGGAGCAAACGGG